Molecule: transfer RNA, 72 nt
Filed under: Xanthocytophaga flava
Lineage: Bacteria; Pseudomonadati; Bacteroidota; Cytophagia; Cytophagales; Rhodocytophagaceae
Description: tRNA-Arg
Rfam family: tRNA
About the family: Transfer RNA (tRNA) molecules are approximately 80 nucleotides in length.
Source: RNAcentral
GAGGAAGUAGUUUAAUGGACGAACGUCUGGUUCCUAACCGGAUGGAUAGAAGUUCGACGCUUGUCUUCCUCC